Molecule: small RNA, 17 nt
Filed under: Vibrio cholerae O1 biovar El Tor str. N16961
Lineage: Bacteria; Pseudomonadati; Pseudomonadota; Gammaproteobacteria; Vibrionales; Vibrionaceae
Source: RNAcentral
AUAGCUCGCUCUUUUUU